UAUAAAUUCACAGUGACAAUUUUUUCAUGGCUUAUUAAAAGCUGGAAUGUAGAGAAUAGAGAAGGCUCUGAUAUAUAAGGAAAAAAGUGCCGGGCGCGGUGGCUCAAGCCUGUAAUCCCAG
Molecule: long non-coding RNA, 121 nt
Organism: Sapajus apella (tufted capuchin)
Lineage: Eukaryota; Metazoa; Chordata; Mammalia; Primates; Cebidae
Exons: 3
Source: RefSeq, a predicted model, not a curated record